UUUAUCACUAGAAAUAUCAGCGAAUCAUCAAGCUCGUAAGAAUCAUAAGACUGAAACUUCUACGCGCACAGUAGAAAAAGCCGUAUGAGAACGCCUUUCCGUCGGUGCCUUUAAACCGCGAUGUCAGUGCACAUUUCUGAACGGGUGGCGCUCUGCCCCCUCCUCCUGGUUUUUUUCUCUCAGUUUCCCCUAUGUGCACCUAAAUACCGUUAUCGUAAUAAACGCAGAUUCCGUUAUUCUCGAAAUAAAGAAUAUCUAUCAGGUAUACGUUCGUGUUAGAUCAACUUUAUCCGAAUUUAAGCUCUUUAAGACAGACGGGCGUUUGCAAAGAUGACAGUAGGAUUCACAAGCAGCACCAUGUCUCGUGUGCGCGAUGCAGCACACGAAUAGUGGGGAGAAUGAAAGAGGCAGUGAGCGAGGUACUGGUGAAGGGAGCAAAAGAGAGGGGGAGAAAUCGAGUAGAAAGUGGGGGAUGAAAAGAGAAGAGAGGGGAACGACGAGGAAGGUAGAGAGGAAGAGUGAGGAAGAAAGAGAAGACAUUGACCGAACGAGCAGCCGCGCGACAAGGCCUCCUUUGCCGUGCUAGGCCAGCUGGAAGGAACGAAGCUUGAACCCUGACUUCUCUUUCUCAACUUAAAUUGGCUACCAAAGAAACGAUGGGAAAAAGCCACUAGAACUCGCUGUG
This is a long non-coding RNA of Apis florea (little honeybee), 685 nucleotides long. RefSeq lists it as uncharacterized. The record is from RefSeq and is a predicted model, not a curated record. NCBI's taxonomy places the organism in Eukaryota, Metazoa, Arthropoda, Insecta, Hymenoptera, Apidae.